CGAGCGGAGUAUUUCCUUCGGGGAAUGCUUAGCGGCGGACGGGUGAGUAACACGUAGGUAACCUGCCUAUAAGACUGGGAUAACUAUCGGAAACGAUAGCUAAGACCGGAUAACUGGUUUUCUCGCAUGAGAGAAUUAUGAAACACGGAGCAAUCUGUGACUUAUAGAUGGGCCUGCGGCGCAUUAGCUAGUUGGUAGGGUAAUGGCCUACCAAGGCGACGAUGCGUAGCCGACCUGAGAGGGUGAACGGCCACACUGGGACUGAGACACGGCCCAGACUCCUACGGGAGGCAGCAGUAGGGAAUCUUCCGCAAUGGACGCAAGUCUGACGGAGCAACGCCGCGUGAGUGAUGAAGGUUUUCGGAUCGUAAAGCUCUGUUGCCCUAGACGAACAGCAAGGCGAGUAACUGCGCUUUGUGUGACGGUAUAGGAGAAGAAAGCCCCGGCUAACUACGUGCCAGCAGCCGCGGUAAUACGUAGGGGGCAAGCGUUGUCCGGAAUUAUUGGGCGUAAAGCGCGCGCAGGCGGUUCGUUAAGUUGGGUGUUUAAGCCCGGGGCUCAACCCCGGUUCGCAUCCAAAACUGGCGAACUUGAGUGUAGGAGAGGAAAGUGGAAUUCCACGUGUAGCGGUGAAAUGCGUAGAGAUGUGGAGGAACACCAGUGGCGAAGGCGACUUUCUGGCCUAUAACUGACGCUGAGGCGCGAAAGCGUGGGGAGCAAACAGGAUUAGAUACCCUGGUAGUCCACGCCGUAAACGAUGCAUACUAGGUGUCGGGGAUUCGAUUUCUCGGUGCCGAAGUUAACACAGUAAGUAUGCCGCCUGGGGAGUACGCUCGCA
Molecule: ribosomal RNA, 838 nt
Filed under: Paenibacillus sp. HBS2-9_Pa
Lineage: Bacteria; Bacillati; Bacillota; Bacilli; Caryophanales; Paenibacillaceae
Description: bacterial SSU rRNA
Rfam family: Bacterial small subunit ribosomal RNA
Source: RNAcentral